UACAGAGGUCCCGAGCGUUGUUCGGAUUCACUGGGCGUAAAGGGUGCGUAGGUGGUGAGGUAAGUCGGAUGUGAAAUCUCGGAGCUUAACUCCGAAACGGCAUUGGAAACUACCUUGCUUGAGGAUUGGAAGGGGGACUGGAAUACUUGGUGUAGCAGUGAAAUGCGUAGAUAUCAAGUGGAACACCAGUGGCGAAGGCGAGUCCCUGGACAAUACCUGACACUGAGGCACGAAAGCUAGGGGAGCAAAC
RNAcentral lists this ribosomal RNA (250 nucleotides) under uncultured bacterium. Its description in RNAcentral is "partial 16S ribosomal RNA". It matches the Rfam family "Bacterial small subunit ribosomal RNA", at positions 524 to 773 of the family's 1533-position model. The record is from RNAcentral.